RNAcentral lists this ribosomal RNA (433 nucleotides) under uncultured bacterium. RNAcentral describes it as "partial 16S ribosomal RNA". It matches the Rfam family "Bacterial small subunit ribosomal RNA", at positions 29 to 507 of the family's 1533-position model. The record is from RNAcentral.
AACGAACGCUGGCGGCAUGCCUAACACAUGCAAGUCGAACGAGACCUUCGGGUCUAGUGGCGCACGGGUGCGUAACGCGUGGGAACCUGCCCUUAGGUUCGGAAUACCUCCCCGAAAGGGGUGCUAAUACCGGAUAAUGUCUUCGGACCAAAGAUUUAUCGCCUUUGGAUGGGCCCGCGUUGGAUUAGCCAGUUGGUAGGGUAAAAGCCUACCAAGGCGACGAUCCAUAGCUGGUCUGAGAGGAUGAUCAGCCACACUGGGACUGAGACACGGCCCAGACUCCUACGGGAGGCAGCAGUGGGGGAUAUUGGACAAUGGGCGAAAGCCUGAUCCAGCAAUGCCGCGUGAGUGAUGAAGGCCUGAGAGUUGUAAAGCUCUUUUACCCGGGAUGAUAAUGACAGUACCGGGAGAAUAAGCACCGGCUAACUCCGUG